Molecule: long non-coding RNA, 294 nt
Filed under: Lathyrus oleraceus (garden pea)
Lineage: Eukaryota; Viridiplantae; Streptophyta; Magnoliopsida; Fabales; Fabaceae
Description: Pisum sativum (pea) long non-coding RNA (PSAT_LNC030786)
Source: RNAcentral
UAUGUUUUGUUAUAUCCAAAAUAUUGAAAAUUGAUUUUAAUAUGGUUGAUCACACUUGACAAAAAUAAUUGUCUCAAUAAUUAAUUUAGUUGAAAUCAAAGAUUUAGUUUUAAAAUUCAAGUGUGAAUUUAGUUAUUAAAUUUAUGAAAUUUACGUGCAUAAUCAUUGGAGUGGGUGAGAUACUCUUUCAAGUAAUAUUUAGUUUGAUUAAACGGAGAAGAGUUGUUAAUCCACUAGAAUUCAACCCCUCAACCUUGUAUUAGUACUAAUUUUUUUUAAAAGCCUGACAAUGAU